Molecule: ribosomal RNA, 252 nt
Filed under: uncultured bacterium
Lineage: Bacteria
Description: partial 16S ribosomal RNA
Rfam family: Bacterial small subunit ribosomal RNA
Source: RNAcentral
UACGGAGGAUGCGAGCGUUAUCCGGAUUUAUUGGGUUUAAAGGGUGCGUAGGCGGGCUUUUAAGUCAGCGGUAAAAAUUCGGGGCUCAACCCCGUCCGGCCGUUGAAACUGGGGGCCUUAAGUGGGCGAGAAGAAGGCGGAAUGCGUGGUGUAGCGGUGAAAUGCAUAGAUAUCACGCAGAACCCCGAUUGCGAAGGCAGCCUUCCGGCGCCCUACUGACGCUGAGGCACGAAAGUGCGGGGAUCGAACAGG